RNAcentral lists this ribosomal RNA (293 nucleotides) under uncultured prokaryote. Its description in RNAcentral is "partial 16S ribosomal RNA". It matches the Rfam family "Archaeal small subunit ribosomal RNA", at positions 455 to 747 of the family's 1478-position model. The record is from RNAcentral.
GUUCCGUGCCCCGCGGUAAUACCGGCAGUCCGAGUGAUGGCCGAUCUUAUUGGGCCUAAAGCGUCCGUAGCUGGCUGAACAAGUCCGUUGGGAAAUCUGUCCGCUUAACGGGCAGGCGUCCAGCGGAAACUGUUCAGCUUGGGACCGGAAGACCUGAGGGGUACGUCUGGGGUAGGAGUGAAAUCCUGUAAUCCUGGACGGACCGCCGGUGGCGAAAGCGCCUCAGGAGAACGGAUCCGACAGUGAGGGACGAAAGCCAGGGUCUCGAACCGGAUUAGAUACCCCAGUAGUCC